Molecule: long non-coding RNA, 2220 nt
Filed under: Fukomys damarensis (Damara mole-rat)
Lineage: Eukaryota; Metazoa; Chordata; Mammalia; Rodentia; Bathyergidae
Description: lncRNA (ENSFDAG00000024421.1)
Source: RNAcentral
AAAGGGCACUGGCAGGAAGCAGUGCCAUGAAACACUGUAAAGGACCCCGUGGACAAAUCUGUUUGAGAAACAGUACCUCUAUCACCCACCUCUUAGGGAUUCUUAAUGUUCUGUCUCUCACAGUUCUAGGAAACCCUGCAGUAUAGAAAUCCAUUGAAUGAUUUUAGCCCCAUAUUUCCUCAUCCUUUUUGUGUAUGGAGCCCUUUUUGCACCCCAUUUCUUUCCCUGGGAAACUGUUCUUCCUUCUCGAGUUCUUAGUCAUCUAGCAUUAUGAGAAGCAGCAGGGCUGGGACCAGAACCAGUGCUGCACCCCGCUCACAGACUCAAAUCAUGUGAUAGGUGCACCUAGAAAGACUGGAUCUCUUCUCUGAAGACUUGAAGACUCAGAACCGGCAGAUGAUUGUACUGAAGCGUGAAGUGGUAAGUGUCCCUGACUCUGUCUUCUCUCUGGGGUCUGGGCAGGGUGCGGAGGGGAAAAUAGCAUGGUCUGGAAAGGUUUUUUGUAAGUGUGGAACAUCCCUUGUUCCCCACCCCACUCUACAGAUGUCUCUCCAAAAAGCGAUUAACGCCAUCCCCAGAUCUGAUGACGUGGUGCUUUGGAGUGGCCUCCACGAGGCCAUGUUCAGCCCAGUGAGUGGAGGAGGAGGAGCCGGGGCAGGAAUGUGGGGAGCUGGCCUGCCCCAUCAGCCCGUUCUUCCUCAGGGGACUGCUUCACUAGAGCUGGAGCUGUCCAACAUGUGGCCGACCACAGAGCCACCUCCACAGGCUGCCUUUGCUCAGACUCAGAACCUUGAAGGUGUUGUUCACACCCAUGUGGCGGAGCUUAUCCAAGGUCCCAGGCUCCUACAGACUUCCUGGCACUCUGAUAUCCAGGUACCCCUACCAAACCAGGAAUCUGUCCAAUCACUUCCAUCUGGCAGUGCCAAGGGUCCAGGACAGCCUCAGGCUCUCAUUGCUGGGCCUGGGCCUGCAGCUGGACCUGCAACUGUGCUGGGACCAGAGUCCCACGCCAUGGCUCCAGUAGGGCCCCAUGUGACACCUGGGUUCGUACCAGCACCUUUGCCCGCCUCUGGACCUGGGACUGGCCCUUCGCCUUUCUGGGCUGAAGGUUUGCUUCAGCCUGGCACAAGUGCAUCAGGCUUCCUGCAGUCCCCUCAGCACCAGCCUUCCAAGGCGCCACCCCCAGCUCGGGAGUUUGGAUCAGCAUGGCCUCUUUCACUGCAGCCUUAUCACCCUCGCAAGGCAGAGGCCCAUCAGCUCCCAGCGGUUGAAGAAAAGGAGGAAAAAUAUUUUACCCACUAUGUGAGACACACUCAGGAGGGAUCUCCCAAGAAUGGGGAACUCAAAGAGAAGGCCUCCCAGGAUGGGUCCCCCAGAGAUGGAGCCCUCAGGGAUAGGGCCCUAGAAGCGCGACCUAAGGGCCCCAAGUCUGUCCUGCAUCGGCUGAGAACCACCAUUGCCAAUGCUGCCACUGUCACCGCUGCCCAUGCAGCUGCUGCAACCUCAGCAGCCCGGACAGCCAGAGCUGCAGCAAAGGCAUUAGAGGAUGCCCCUGCCACCAAAAUGGCUACUGAGGCAACAACCAUGGCAGCAUCCGGGCCAUUAGGGGUCUUUGCAGAUGUCCUAGGUGCAGGGAUUUCCCGCGGAGCCCUAGAAGCUCUUGGCACUGAUGAUGAGAAGCAGGAAGACUUGAUGGCAGACUAUGAAACGUUCUCUCCCCUAUCUACCCUUGGCCUCAACACUCAUGAACCAGCGCUGUCCCAGGCUAUGCUGUAUGCCACGCAGGCCAUAAGCCCUGAAGACAAGAAGAAAGCUGUCAAGUACUCCAUGAGCCACGUAGCCCAAAUGCCUGUUAGACAUGACACUUUGAAAGAAGAGUUUGCUCAUCUGUCAUCUGAUUUGCAACAGCGCUUCAAUUAUCUAGUUGACAUGGCAGGUGCCUCCAGGAUUGGAACGGCAGUGGACCUAUUGGAGGAAAGGGUUGACAACCUCCAGAAAUCUGGGCUAAAGAUUCUCCAGUCUCAAAUCAAAUCCCUGGAGCAGAGCAAGGUGAAUAAGACCACCAUGGAGCAGGAACUGAAAGAAAAAGCCGACAGGAGUGCACUGGCAGGCAAGGCCAGUAGGGCUGACCUGGAGACCGUGGCGAUGGAGCUGAACGGCGUGAUCCAGGGCAUGUUCUUGAAGGUUUCAACCCAUGAGGAUGACUGGAAGAAGUCGUAA